GCUUACGGCCACACCGCCUGGUUCACCCGGAUCUCGGAAGCUAACAUAGGUUGGGCCUGGUUAGUACUUGGAUGGGAGACCGCCUGGGAAUACCAGGUGCUGUAAGCU
Molecule: ribosomal RNA, 108 nt
Filed under: Scophthalmus maximus (turbot)
Lineage: Eukaryota; Metazoa; Chordata; Actinopteri; Pleuronectiformes; Scophthalmidae
Source: RNAcentral